RNAcentral lists this ribosomal RNA (253 nucleotides) under uncultured prokaryote. RNAcentral's name for it is "partial 16S ribosomal RNA". It matches the Rfam family "Bacterial small subunit ribosomal RNA", at positions 525 to 777 of the family's 1533-position model. The record is from RNAcentral.
ACAGAGGGUGCAAGCGUUGUCCGGAAUCACUGGGCGUAAAGGGCGCGUAGGCGGUCGUGUGCGUCGGAGGUGAAAUCCCCAGGCUUAACCUGGGAACUGCCUCCGAUACGGCAUGGCUUGAGUCCGGGAGAGGGGAGCAGAAUUCCCAGUGUAGCGGUGAAAUGCGUAGAUAUUGGGAGGAAUACCAGUGGCGAAGGCGGCUCCCUGGACCGGUACUGACGCUGAGGCGCGAAAGCGUGGGUAGCAAACAGGA